CAGUCGCCGCGGUAAUACGAAGGGUGCAAGCGUUACUCGGAAUUACUGGGCGUAAAGCGUGCGUAGGUGGUGGUUUAAGUCCGUUGUGAAAGCCCUGGGCUCAACCUGGGAAUUGCAGUGGAUACUGGGUCACUAGAGUGUGGUAGAGGAUAGUGGAAUUUCCGGUGUAGCAGUGAAAUGCGUAGAGAUCGGAAGGAACAUCUGUGGCGGAGGCGACUAUCUGGGCCAACACUGACACUGAGGCACGAAAGCGUGGGGAGCAAACAGGAUUAGAUACCCCAGUAGUCCCUGUCUCUUAUAC
RNAcentral lists this ribosomal RNA (301 nucleotides) under uncultured bacterium. Its description in RNAcentral is "partial 16S ribosomal RNA". It matches the Rfam family "Bacterial small subunit ribosomal RNA", at positions 509 to 807 of the family's 1533-position model. The record is from RNAcentral.